UACGGAGGGGGCAAGCGUUGUUCGGAAUUACUGGGCGUAAAGGGCGCGUAGGCGGCCGAGCAUGUCCUUCGUGAAAUCCCACGGCUCAACCGUGGAAUGGCGGAGGAAACUGCCUGGCUUGAGUCCGGGAGAGGAGAGUGGAAUUCCCAGUGUAGCGGUGAAAUGCGUAGAUAUUGGGAGGAACACCGGUGGCGAAGGCGGCUCUCUGGACCGGUACUGACGCUGAGGCGCGAAAGCUAGGGGAGCAAACGGG
Molecule: unclassified non-coding RNA, 253 nt
Filed under: uncultured Acidobacteriota bacterium
Lineage: Bacteria; Pseudomonadati; Acidobacteriota
Description: uncultured Acidobacteria bacterium contains 16S-23S intergenic spacer region
Rfam family: Bacterial small subunit ribosomal RNA
Source: RNAcentral